Molecule: ribosomal RNA, 146 nt
Filed under: Anemone quinquefolia
Lineage: Eukaryota; Viridiplantae; Streptophyta; Magnoliopsida; Ranunculales; Ranunculaceae
Description: 5.8S ribosomal RNA
Rfam family: 5.8S ribosomal RNA
About the family: 5.8S ribosomal RNA (5.8S rRNA) is a component of the large subunit of the eukaryotic ribosome.
Source: RNAcentral
AACGACUCUCGGCAACGGAUAUCUCGGCUCUUGCAUCGAUGAAGAACGUAGCGAAAUGCGAUACUUGGUGUGAAUUGCAGAAUCCCGUGAACCAUCGAGUCUUUGAACGCAAGUUGCGCCCGAAGCCUUUUUGGCCGAGGGCACGC